This 65-nucleotide transfer RNA is filed under the name Staphylinidae sp. BMNH 1274207. Its description in RNAcentral is "tRNA-Val". Lineage: Eukaryota; Metazoa; Arthropoda; Insecta; Coleoptera; Staphylinidae. The record is from RNAcentral.
CAAAUUAAAGCUUAUAUAGUAUUUUAUUUACAUUAAAAAGAUAGUUGUUAAUUCAAUUAAUUUGA